RNAcentral lists this ribosomal RNA (1520 nucleotides) under Pseudomonas sp. MLB-6. RNAcentral's name for it is "bacterial SSU rRNA". It matches the Rfam family "Bacterial small subunit ribosomal RNA". The record is from RNAcentral. Lineage: Bacteria; Pseudomonadati; Pseudomonadota; Gammaproteobacteria; Pseudomonadales; Pseudomonadaceae.
UCCUGGCUCAGAUUGAACGCUGGCGGCAGGCCUAACACAAGCAAGUCGAGCGGUAGAGAGAAGCUUGCUUCUCUUGAGAGCGGCGGACGGGUGAGUAAUGCCUAGGAAUCUGCCUGGUAGUGGGGGAUAACGUUCGGAAACGGACGCUAAUACCGCAUACGUCCUACGGGAGAAAGCAGGGGACCUUCGGGCCUUGCGCUAUCAGAUGAGCCUAGGUCGGAUUAGCUAGUUGGUGAGGUAAUGGCUCACCAAGGCGACGAUCCGUAACUGGUCUGAGAGGAUGAUCAGUCACACUGGAACUGAGACACGGUCCAGACUCCUACGGGAGGCAGCAGUGGGGAAUAUUGGACAAUGGGCGAAAGCCUGAUCCAGCCAUGCCGCGUGUGUGAAGAAGGUCUUCGGAUUGUAAAGCACUUUAAGUUGGGAGGAAGGGUUGUAGAUUAAUACUCUGCAAUUUUGACGUUACCGACAGAAUAAGCACCGGCUAACUCUGUGCCAGCAGCCGCGGUAAUACAGAGGGUGCAAGCGUUAAUCGGAAUUACUGGGCGUAAAGCGCGCGUAGGUGGUUUGUUAAGUUGGAUGUGAAAUCCCCGGGCUCAACCUGGGAACUGCAUUCAAAACUGACUGACUAGAGUAUGGUAGAGGGUGGUGGAAUUUCCUGUGUAGCGGUGAAAUGCGUAGAUAUAGGAAGGAACACCAGUGGCGAAGGCGACCACCUGGACUAAUACUGACACUGAGGUGCGAAAGCGUGGGGGAGCAACAGGAUUAGAUACCCUGGUAGUCACGCCGUAAACGAUGUCAACUAGCCGUUGGAAGCCUUGAGCUUUUAGUGGCGCAGCUAACGCAUUAAGUUGACCGCCUGGGGAGUACGGCCGCAAGGUUAAAACUCAAAUGAAUUGACGGGGGCCCGCACAAGCGGUGGAGCAUGUGGUUUAAUUCGAAGCAACGCGAAGAACCUUACCAGGCCUUGACAUCCAAUGAACUUUCUAGAGAUAGAUUGGUGCCUUCGGGAACAUUGAGACAGGUGCUGCAUGGCUGUCGUCAGCUCGUGUCGUGAGAUGUUGGGUUAAGUCCCGUAACGAGCGCAACCCUUGUCCUUAGUUACCAGCACGUUAUGGUGGGCACUCUAAGGAGACUGCCGGUGACAAACCGGAGGAAGGUGGGGAUGACGUCAAGUCAUCAUGGCCCUUACGGCCUGGGCUACACACGUGCUACAAUGGUCGGUACAGAGGGUUGCCAAGCCGCGAGGUGGAGCUAAUCCCAUAAAACCGAUCGUAGUCCGGAUCGCAGUCUGCAACUCGACUGCGUGAAGUCGGAAUCGCUAGUAAUCGCGAAUCAGAAUGUCGCGGUGAAUACGUUCCCGGGCCUUGUACACACCGCCCGUCACACCAUGGGAGUGGGUUGCACCAGAAGUAGCUAGUCUAACCUUCGGGAGGACGGUUACCACGGUGUGAUUCAUGACUGGGGUGAAGUCGUAACAAGGUAGCCGUAGGGGAACCUGCGGCUGGAUCACCUCCUUA